This 411-nucleotide ribosomal RNA is filed under the name uncultured bacterium. RNAcentral describes it as "bacterial SSU rRNA". It matches the Rfam family "Bacterial small subunit ribosomal RNA", at positions 505 to 916 of the family's 1533-position model. The record is from RNAcentral.
GUGCCAGCCGCCGCGGUAAUACGUAGGGUGCAAGCAGGAUGAGGAAUUACUGGGCGUAAAGCGUGCGCAGGCGGUUAUGUAAGACAGAUGUGAAAUCCCCGGGCUCAACCUGGGACCUGCAUUUGUGGCUGCAUAGCUAGAGUACGGCAGAGGGGGAUGGAAUUCCGCGUGUAGCAGUGAAAUGCGUAGAUAUGCGGAGGAACACCGAUGGCGAAGGCAAUCCCCUGGGCCUGUACUGACGCUCAUGCACGAAAGCGUGGGGAGCAAACAGGAUUAGAUACCCUGGUAGUCCACGCCCUAAACGAUGUCAACUGGUUGUUGGGUCUUCACUGACUCAGUAACGAAGCUAACGCGUGAAGUUGACCGCCUGGGGAGUACGGCCGCAAGGUUGAAACUCAAAUAAAUUGACGG